GACAGAGGUGGCAAGCGUUGUCCGGAUUGACUGGGCGUAAAGCGCACGCAGGUGGUCGGGUAGGUGUGAUGUGAAAGCGCCCAGCUUAACUGGGCGAGGCCAUCGCAAACGGCACGACUUGAGCACGGGAGAGGUCGGUGGAAUUGCCGGAGGAGUAGUGAUAUACGUAGAUACCGGCAGGAACACUCAAGGCGAAGGCAGCCGACUGGCCCGUGUCUGACACUCAGGUGCGACAGCGUGGGGAGCAAACGGG
RNAcentral lists this unclassified non-coding RNA (253 nucleotides) under uncultured Roseiflexaceae bacterium. RNAcentral describes it as "contains 16S-23S intergenic spacer region". It matches the Rfam family "Bacterial small subunit ribosomal RNA", at positions 524 to 776 of the family's 1533-position model. The record is from RNAcentral. Lineage: Bacteria; Bacillati; Chloroflexota; Chloroflexia; Chloroflexales; Roseiflexaceae.